ACUUUAGCUUAUUUUUAUUUUCAGCCAUCACUAUUAUUCAAAGCUUCAAAAUCCAAUUCAAAGGAUGUAACAUCCAAAAUGGCCGUUGCGUUUGUAGCAAAGUCUCUGAUAACAUCAACCCAUUUACGUAUAGCAAUCGUGCUAAAUGUGAACGGGAUUUAAAAGGUGAAGACUGGUUGUGUCCAAAAGGAAGAUGUAAACAUGGUGGAAGAUGUUGUCAAAUAAAACGUCCAGGUGGAAGACGAACAUUUAAAUGUGAAUGCAUUGCUACUGGUUAUUAUGGGAAAAGAUGUGAAAGAAAAUGCCCAAAGAAGAAUAAGAAAACACGUAAAGCUUAUCCAAUGGCAUGCAUCUUUAAUCUGUAAAUUUGCCAAUGCAACUCAAGUCAGUGUCUCAACACACACACACACACACACACACACAUACAUAUGUAAGUGAUGAGGGUAAAAAUUAUUAUUAAAAAAUAACAAUUUAAACCAGUGGCUAGUAUGUGUAAAAAAAAAUUCCAAGAACUGCAAGUUAUAUUCAAAUAUAUGAAGAAAGCCACUAAGUGGGUUCCUUACAUGCUGAAAGUAGAUGCAUUUUUUGUGGUUAGAUGAUUUCAUGUCGACUUUCAGCAUGUAAGGAAAUCACUAGGUGACUUUCCUCUUAUAUUUGAAUAUAUAUAUAUAUAUAUAUAUAUAUAUGCACUUGUUUAUCUAUACAAUAUAUAAGUUUUGUAUGUUAUCUCCUGCUUAACACUUCAUAUUGUGUUAUAAAAUACAAAUGUUCUAUACACACACACACACAUGUGCACAUACAUUUUACGCUAAUAGAAUUUAUGAUGCAAGGCAAAAAUUAAUACAGCAUUGGACAUACAUAUUUUAUUAUAUUCCUUAUUGUUCUAGAUCUAAAUCCUAUCAACUAUCUCAAGUCCUUCGGAGCUUACCUGGAAUAUAUCUCUCCUCUGUGCCAAAAUUUGAAAUUGUUAAUAUCACUUAUGAAGACUAGUGGAGUUGCAGGAUCAAUAAAAUGACUGAUUGAAUGCCUUUGGUAUAUUGCUUUGGACAUGUAUGUUUUGAGCACAGAUAUUUUUGAGAUCAGCUUUGAUUCUUAAUAUUCCAGGAACACCAAACCAAGUGGCAGUCAUAUAUAGCUGUCAGUUUUUUUUAAAAUAAACCUACAUUUCUGACUA
Octopus sinensis (East Asian common octopus) is the source of this 1174-nucleotide long non-coding RNA. RefSeq lists it as uncharacterized. The record is from RefSeq and is a predicted model, not a curated record. The transcript has 3 exons. NCBI's taxonomy places the organism in Eukaryota, Metazoa, Mollusca, Cephalopoda, Octopoda, Octopodidae.